GGGGGCGUGGUGAAGUGGUAUCACAGGAAUCUCCAAAAUUCUAGUCGGGGGUCCGAUUCCCUCCGCCCCCG
Molecule: transfer RNA, 71 nt
Filed under: Patescibacteria group bacterium
Lineage: Bacteria
Description: tRNA-Trp
Rfam family: tRNA
About the family: Transfer RNA (tRNA) molecules are approximately 80 nucleotides in length. Their secondary structure includes four short double-helical elements and three loops (D, anti-codon, and T loops).
Source: RNAcentral